CGCACUCUUUACCACCUCCUCUGCACCCUAAUCCUGUCUGUGCUUAAACAGAUGUCCACCUCGAAUGAGAAAACCGAAGUUCUAGCGGGGGCCUCGUUGUUCCGAGUCCCAACAAAUAGCUCGGUUUCCGUCUGAGUGUCAGGCUAAGCGGCUCCCAUCACCUGCCGCAUCUUGCAGGGUGCAGGGAACCCACUUUCCAACACCACGAAAGGGGUCUCGGCACGGACGCCACCAUCUUGACUGCCGCCUCCGAGAGCCUGGGCUCACCCGGGAGGGUGCUCGCGCCUGCGCGGACCGCGGAGGGGCGUGGCGAAGAGCGCGGGGGCGAGGCCUCGGCGGAAGGCGCGGGGGAGGGACGCAAUGUGCCCCUAGUGGCGGGUGUGUUCGCGCCUCACCUCCGUGUUUCCACGGUUACGGCGGCGCGAAGCUGUGUCCCAGGCCCAUGUCGCCUCCCUGGAGGGCCACACCACCAAAGAUAAAGCCGUGCUUCUGGCAGGUUCUCCCCUGCAGGAUGAAACCACCCUGGGUCAGUUGGAGUAGAAGCCCUGGCGACCCUGGAAGUGGUUGGCCGCAUGGCUAGGAGGUGAGUGGGCCUACAGAGGCCAAACUGGUGCCAUCGGUCUGUUUACGAUCCUUAGCCUUACUUUGCCUUUCACAGUGUCUAACGUUUUUUGCUUUAAUUUACAAUAUCUAAAGUUGGCUGAUUUUGUGUGGAAAUACAAUAUCUGGCUUUGUUUCAAAAAUUGGGAAGAUCUGGUGACAGUGGGCCCGUGUUCCCACAUACCAACAGUCUGCCCCAGCUGAGUAGUGGCUGCUCCCUUUGGAAGGCUUUACAGUCCCUACAGUUUCCAGCCCUCCCUCCUCCACUCCUCAAAACCAAUGUCAGUUACCAUUUAUCAUCAGGCUUAUGCUGUUGUUUCUCUUAUAGUAAAGAAAAGUGAACUCUCUUUUUAUACCUAUGUCUCUAUCAAAAGUGGGAAAACGAAAGAUGGAUCGAGAGCGUCGCAUGUUUCAAGAAAAACGGAACGAGCAUAUUUCUUUGUGGAAAUUAAGAAUAGCGCUAUGUGUUUAAUAUGUAACCAGACUUUUGGGGCGCCUGGGUGGCACAGCGGUUAAGCGUCUGCCUUCGGCUCAGGGCGUGAUCCCGCCGUUCUGGGAUCGAGCCCCACAUCAGGCUCCUCCGCUAUGAGCCUGCUUCUUCCUCUCCCACUCCCCCUGCUUGUGUUCCCUCUCUCGCUGGCUGUCUCUAUCUCUCAAAUAAAUAAAUAAAAUCUUAAAAAAAAAAAAUGUAA
RNAcentral lists this long non-coding RNA (1292 nucleotides) under Ursus americanus (American black bear). Its description in RNAcentral is "lncRNA (ENSUAMG00000009151.1)". Lineage: Eukaryota; Metazoa; Chordata; Mammalia; Carnivora; Ursidae. The record is from RNAcentral.